AGCGGAAUCGUACGCGAUAUACCUGGCAACCAAUCAUCUAAACCGUCAGCCUGCACUCAUUUUCCAAUUCAUUUUCUGAGCCUUUGAGGAUGAACAAGACCAACGAGAACCAGUCAGGUAAAAAUCAUUGGUGAAGUCACCAGAUGUGGAUGGUGUCAAUGUAACUUCAAAACUGCCGUUGGCCUUGGUACACAUAUGUAUCGUAACCAUGCAGUGAUUACACCAAGUGCUGACAAAUCACACAGUGGUGUUAAUAUGACAUGCCAGGUUAUGGAAUGUUCUUUCACUUCCACAUCUGGGGAUGCAUGGUGAAACGAAUAUCUCUGUGUAGGUCUAUGCAGUGUUGAAUAUGUUUUUCAUUUCUUUCAGCGUGUAUGUUGUUCGACAUUGCAGCGUGCUGAUGAGUUAAUAAAGAGGCAGCAAAAACCUGGGAUCUGCAUUGGCCCUGUCAAGUCUGGAGAGUGUUUUUACCAUUUAAUGAAUUAAAUUGUAAUAAAAGUUUUUAAAUGGA
This is a long non-coding RNA of Carassius auratus (goldfish), 511 nucleotides long. RefSeq lists it as uncharacterized. The record is from RefSeq and is a predicted model, not a curated record. NCBI's taxonomy places the organism in Eukaryota, Metazoa, Chordata, Actinopteri, Cypriniformes, Cyprinidae. The transcript has 5 exons.